Molecule: ribosomal RNA, 460 nt
Filed under: uncultured bacterium
Lineage: Bacteria
Description: partial 16S ribosomal RNA
Rfam family: Bacterial small subunit ribosomal RNA
Source: RNAcentral
CCUACGGGGGGCAGCAGUGAGGAAUAUUGGUCAAUGGCCGCAGGGCUGAACCAGCCAAGUCGCGUGAGUGAUGACGGUCCUAUGGAUUGUAAACCUCUGUUGUCAGGGAGCAAAGGACGCCACGUGUGGCGUUUUGCGAGUACCUGACGAAAAAGCAUGGGCUAACUCUGUGCCCGCAGCCGCGGUAAUACGGAGGAUGCGAGCGUUAUCCGGAUUUACUGGGGGUAAAGGGAGCGUAGACGGUGAAGCAAGUCUGAUGUGAAAGGUCGGGGCCCAACCCCGGGACUGCAUUGGAAACUGUUGAACUAGAGUACAGGAGAGGUAAGCGGAAUUCCUAGUGUAGCGGUGAAAUGCGUAGAUAUUAGGAGGAACACCAGUGGCGAAGGCGGCUUACUGGACUGUAACUGACGUUGAGGCUCGAAAGCGAGGGGAGCAAACAGGAUUAGAUACCCGUGUAGUC